GCUGCGGCCGUGCAGAGGGCGUGGGGGAGAGGGAGGGGGAGCGGCAGGGGCCGGUGGGCCGCCUGCCCUGCUGGGCCGGCCCACCAGCGGCCAUUGUUUUAUUUUUUUUAUUUUUUAUUUUUCUUAUUUGAUGUAUAUGAUGUAUAAUUGUUAUAAAUAAUUAUUAAUUGUUCUAAAUAAAUAUAUAUAAUGUAUUAUUAAUUAUUAAUUGUCCUAAAUACUUACUAAUUGUCAUAAAUACAUAACUAAUUAUUAAUUAUUAAUUGUCCUAGAUAAAUGUAUAUAAUGUUUUAUUUUUCUUAAAAUUAUUAAUUGUCCUAAAUAAUUAUCAAUUGUCCUAAAUAAAUGUAUAUGAUGUUUUAUUUUUCUUAUAUACAUUAUGCAUAUCCUAAAUAAUUAUUAUUUAUUUUCCUUAUUUGAUG
Molecule: long non-coding RNA, 422 nt
Filed under: Sorghum bicolor (sorghum)
Lineage: Eukaryota; Viridiplantae; Streptophyta; Magnoliopsida; Poales; Poaceae
Description: long non-coding RNA (SBIC_LNC001067)
Source: RNAcentral